Molecule: ribosomal RNA, 59 nt
Filed under: uncultured Dinobryon
Lineage: Eukaryota; Chrysophyceae; Chromulinales
Description: partial Eukaryotic large subunit ribosomal RNA
Source: RNAcentral
AACCUGUUUUGUGAUGAUAGACUCGUCUUGAAACAUGGACCAAGGAGAUUAACUUAUUC